This 566-nucleotide ribosomal RNA is filed under the name uncultured bacterium. RNAcentral describes it as "bacterial SSU rRNA". It matches the Rfam family "Bacterial small subunit ribosomal RNA", at positions 114 to 682 of the family's 1533-position model. The record is from RNAcentral.
UGCAUAGAAUCUGCCCGAUAGUGGGGAUAACCUGGGGAAACCCAGGCUAAUACCGCAUACGUCCUACGGGAGAAAGGGGGCUUUUGCUCCCGCUAUUGGAUGAGCCUAUGUCGGAUUAGCUAGUUGGUGAGGUAAAGGCUCACCAAGGCUGCGAUCCGUAGCUGGUCUGAGAGGGUGAUCAGCCACAUCGGGACUGAGACACGGCCCCGAACUCCUACAGGAGGCAGCAGUGGGGAAUAUUGGACAAAUUGGGGGCAACCCUGAUCCAGACAUGCCGCGUGUGUGAAGAAGGCCCUCGGGUUGUAAAGCACUUUCAGCGAGGAAGAACGCCUGGUGGUUAAUACCCACCAGGAAAGACAUCACUCGCAGAAGAAGCACCGGCUAACUCCGUGCCAGCAGCCGCGGUAAUACGGAGGGUGCAAGCGUUAAUCGGAAUUACUGGGCGUAAAGCGCGCGUAGGUGGCUUGAUAAGCCGGUUGUGAAAGCCCCGGGCUCAACCUGGGAACGGCAUCCGGAACUGUCAGGCUAGAGUGCAGGAGAGGAAGGUAGAUUCCCGGUGUAGCGGU